Metopolophium dirhodum (rose-grain aphid) is the source of this 423-nucleotide long non-coding RNA. RefSeq lists it as uncharacterized. NCBI's taxonomy places the organism in Eukaryota, Metazoa, Arthropoda, Insecta, Hemiptera, Aphididae. The record is from RefSeq and is a predicted model, not a curated record. The transcript is spliced from 3 exons.
AUGCUCUCAAAACAUAAUCCAAACAAUUCGUCUGGGAUGGAGUAGUAAAAUAAAUUUUAGUAAUUUACAGCGUUAUUGGUACUACUCUGAGCACGACUAGUAAAUCGCAUCUAAGAGAAAAUUAUAUUUCUCCAACAAUGAGUUUGAAGAAAAUGAACGGGCGAAUAACGGAUUUGGAGACGUUACAGUUAAUGAAUUUAAUUCAUUCACAAAAUCCUUAGAAACUUAAUAAUGUCUAAUUCACAUACACUUAAUUCAUACAGUGGAUUAUACCUAUAUUUUCAAAACUGAAAUAUAUGAUGGACCACAUACAAGGAGCUAGGAGGUCAAUAAUAUAUGCUGACAAUUUUUCAAACAUUCACUUUCAUGAAGAUAAUUCUACCGUUUUAGAUGAAGCCAUACAAUAUUGGAAUGAAUUAUGAA